CUUCGAAGUACGGUAAUGGAAUAUUUAGAUUUUUUUUGUCACGAAACGCUUUGUGCGCGUCACCCUUCUUUACCCUUUCGGAUAGUGUCUUGAACGCACGAACAAAACGCCGCUAUUUGGAUAUAACUAUGGAUUAUUUUGAACCAAACCAACAUUUGUUAUUGAAGUAGAAGUCCUGGGAGUGCAUUCUGACGAAGAACAGCAAAGUUUUCCCGGUUUUGUCCUUUCUGCCUGCCCUGACCCUGAGCCUGCCUGCCGUCUGGUACAUUUGCCCCACUACUCUGGAAUACCUACCUCUGCCUGACCCUGAGCCUGCCUGCCGUCCGGUAGCUUUGCCCCACUACUCUGGAUUACUGACCUCUGCCUGACCUGACCCUGAGCCUGACUGCCGUCCAGUACCUUUGUCUGCCCGUGUUCGUAUUAAUAAACCUUUGUUAUUUCGACAUUGUCUGCACCUGGGCAUUACCUUCAAACGUGAUAGAUUUGUAUUGGUAUGAUAUAAACAUGCUGAAUAAAUGGCUAUUAUGUUAUUUAGUAGGAAAUAACAUUCAUUUGAUGAGAAGAUUUCCUGUCCCUCUUUUGCAUGUACAUUUUGAAGGUGCUAUGCUCAUAAAACUAUAUUUCCUGUCCCUCUUAUGCAUGUCCAUGUUGAAGGUGUUAUGCUCAUGAAACUAGGACAGUUGGUUCAAAUAUCAUGAAAUACCAAUGGAUUCCGUCCGAAAUGUCAAAAUAUAGCUAUGGCACUCAAGUGUAUAGUGAAUGUAUGGUGUUGAAUUAAGUUGCUAAGGCCUUUUGACCUAUUCCUAAUUGAUAGACAAGGUGCAAUACUGGGUUAAUCCCAGCAGCCUAUAAACAUACAGAAGCUUUCUAGAUCUAUAUCAGGGGUCUCCAACCUUUUCUAGUUGAGAUCUUUAAAAAAAAUGAAACACGUUGCCAGCUAUUCAAUUUUUUCUAUCUUUCAAAAUAGGCACAUUCUCCUCUUCUCCUCUCCCCUGCAACUGUUCCCCCAUGUCCUUGGUGUGCAAGAGAAAGUAGUGCACUAUGUUUUCUGUCAAUAUAAUUGGUAAAAUAAUAGUUAAUAAACAACUCUAGGGCCUCUUGAGUGGUGCAGCGGUUCAAGGCACUGCAUCGCAGUGUUGUGGCAUCACUACAGCCUGGGGUUUAAUCCCAGCCGUGACCAGGACAACCAGCUGUGAUCGGGAGUCCCAUUGGGCAGUGCACAAUUGGCCCCGCAUCGUCCGGGUUAGGGGAGGGUUUGGCUGGGGGGGGGGGGCUUUAUUUGGCUCAUCGCGCUCUAGUGACUCCUUUGUGGCGGGCUGGGCGCCUGCAGGCUGACUCGGUUGUCAGUUGAACAGUGUUUCCUCCAACACAUUAGUACAGCUGGCUUCCGGUUUAAGCGAGCCGCUGUUAAGAAGCGCGGCUUGGCAGGUCAUGUUUCGGAGGAAGCAUGACUCGACCUUUACCUUUGCAGCGAUGAGAGAAGAUAAUAAUCACGAAAUUGGAGAGAAAAAGUGAAAUUUUAAAAUUCAGUUUUAUAUUUUCCCAAAUGAUGUUUCCUCAGUUUUAAUUUUCCUGGUUUUAGAUUUGUUUUGUUUUUUCUCCAAACAAUCAAAUUGUUCAUAGAGAAACAACGGAAUUGGAUGUUCUGAGUCCAUGUCAAUGGUUAAAUCACAUCAAAAGACAAAACAUUUUUGGGUCUGGAGAAAAAUGAACAAAUACAUUUUUUUGCGUAACUUCCCUUUAGUUGUGCAUCUAGCGAGUGAGGAAUGCCCUGUCUAAUGUUCCGGUCUAGCGAUGCUUCUGUGCUGCUGCUGCUCAUUUCAUCGCAAAGUUUGCAAAUAACAAAUAAUGAUAAACUUCUGCCAGGUAAGCCAACUUUGCAAUUAAAAUUUAUUGAGAAUGUUUUGGGGAAAGUAUUUCAGUCAACUCACAAGACGGUUAUCACAUCAACUGUCUACACACGGAGUGAUAGACAAACACACGCACCACACAGACUGACAAGGGCAAUAUUUCUGGAAAUUAAUUGGCAGAUAUUGUGUUAGGUUUGGCUUUUGAAGCCAAUACUGGCUAACCAGGGGUGGUAUAUUGUCAAUGUUGUGUUGAUUAGAUAGUAGCUGGGAGCUUGCAAUGUCAGAUACUUGUGAGAUUUGUUUUUGACAGUUUGCGAUGGAACACAUGAAAUAUUGCAUAUCCUUUCGGAAUUGUUUGGCGAGCUACUCAUAGGUGGGCUGGUAGCUACUGGUAGCUGGCGAUCGACCUGUCAUAGACCCCUGGUCAAUAUGAUAUGUUUAGGUAUGUCUGCUUUCUAGUGGCUGCAAGAGUUACUGAGACUGUCUUAAAAUGUGAAUGUACAAAUUGGGGUAUCCUUCUUUCAAGGACUUUUCCUUAAAUUAAUAGGACAUCUUGGCAAGGGCAAUGGCUUUUAAAAUAAUUGAAUAAAAAGCAUGUUGUGAUAUUACCUAAUGCCCAUUGACUUUUUAUCCUGUGUAUCAUUAAAAUAUCUGCUUCGUGUUGAUACUUCCUAAGUGAUUCCACUUUACUUUUAGAGAGGUUGGGGGGUGGGCUGUAAUGCAUUAUCUGAGGUCAAGCGCUGUGCAUAACUCAGAGAUACCAUAAUGUACAGUAUGUGUCUUAAGUCCAGUUCAGAUACAACAGCCGAUAUGAAACAAGACGAGAACAAACUAGAUAGUUUUAUCAUGUUUUGUUGUACCAACAAAAAGACAGACAUGCAAGUAGAGAUCGUUUCCACGGUAACACUUUACAACAAUGUGAUUCAACUUUUCAAGAAAGUUACCACUUGUUGUAGCUAGGUGAUGUAGCAAACGAGUGUCAUGAAAUACAUGCACCAUAAACAGGGUACACUUUGUGACUUGUCAGAUAAAUAUCUGCAUGCUAUAGGAAUAGGGCCAGCUCUAAUCUUUUGGGGGACCUACUGUAUGUAUUUAACCUUUAUUUAACUAGGCAAGUCAGUUAAGAACAAGUUCUUAUUUACAUUGACGGCCUACCCCAGCCAAACACUAACCCAGACGAUGCUGGGCCAGUUGUGUGCCGCCCUAUGGGACUCCCAAUCACAGCCGGUUGUGAUACAGCCCAGGAUUGAACCAGGGUCUGUAGUAACACCUCUAGCACUGAGAUGCAGUGCCUUAGACCG
RNAcentral lists this long non-coding RNA (3151 nucleotides) under Salmo salar (Atlantic salmon). RNAcentral describes it as "lncRNA (ENSSSAG00000119426.1)". Lineage: Eukaryota; Metazoa; Chordata; Actinopteri; Salmoniformes; Salmonidae. The record is from RNAcentral.